This 133-nucleotide microRNA precursor is filed under the name Poecilia mexicana. RNAcentral's name for it is "Clostridiales-1 RNA (ENSPMEG00000016934.1)". Lineage: Eukaryota; Metazoa; Chordata; Actinopteri; Cyprinodontiformes; Poeciliidae. The record is from RNAcentral.
AUACAUGGCAAGUGGCAUGUAUGUAUACAUGCAAUGCAUGUAUACAUACAUGCCACUUGUAUGUAUGUAUACAAGUUGCGCGCUCUCAUCGCGCAACUUGUAUACAUAAGUUGUAUGUAUACAACUUAUGUAU